RNAcentral lists this long non-coding RNA (471 nucleotides) under Monodelphis domestica (gray short-tailed opossum). Its description in RNAcentral is "lncRNA (ENSMODG00000033935.2)". The record is from RNAcentral. Lineage: Eukaryota; Metazoa; Chordata; Mammalia; Didelphimorphia; Didelphidae.
UGUGGAGAAGGCUAGAGGCUAGUUCUAUCUUGGAGCUCCCCUCAGACAGCUUCUCUUCAGAUCGGUCACCUUUGUAACGGAGGACUUGGUUUCUGAAUCUGUGACUGUUCUCAGAUUUCCACACAUCCCAGAGGGAAACAGAGAAGGAAACCUCAUCAGUUCCAUGCUACAAGUACAGAGUCUUCUGCCCAGUGGGUACUACAUAAGCACUUGCUGAUCUUUCCCUAAAGGUGCAAUGACCUCGAAUGGCCAAUACAGCAUUCUACAUGUGGUUGACAGUCCCUUCAGAAGACUACAAACUUCCUCAGGACAGGAACUUUUAUCUACUUCAUAUAUACCCAGCAGCUGGCAGCAUGUCUACCACAAAGGAGACACUUAAUAAAUACUUUUUCCAUUGUCUUACACUGGAUGUGUCCAAACAAAAUAACUGAUUUAAAAUAAAAGUCAUUCCAGACCAAUGUGAUAAAAUCA